Molecule: ribosomal RNA, 430 nt
Filed under: bacterium
Lineage: Bacteria
Description: partial 16S ribosomal RNA
Rfam family: Bacterial small subunit ribosomal RNA
Source: RNAcentral
UAGGGAAUCUUCCGCAAUGGACGAAAGUCUGACGGAGCAACGCCGCGUGAGUGAUGAAGGUUUUCGGAUCGUAAAACUCUGUUGUUAGGGAAGAACAAGUACCGUUCGAAUAGGGCGGUACCUUGACGGUACCUAACCAGAAAGCCACGGCUAACUACGUGCCAGCAGCCGCGGUAAUACGUAGGUGGCAAGCGUUGUCCGGAAUUAUUGGGCGUAAAGCGCGCGCAGGCGGUCCUUUAAGUCUGAUGUGAAAGCCCACGGCUCAACCGGGGAGGGUCAUUGGAAACUGGGGGACUUGAGUGCAGAAGAGGAGAGUGGAAUUCCACGUGUAGCGGUGAAAUGCGUAGAGAUGUGGAGGAACACCAGUGGCGAAGGCGACUCUCUGGUCUGUAACUGACGCUGAGGCGCGAAAGCGUGGGGAGCGAACAGG